This is an RNA transcript of Pangasianodon hypophthalmus (striped catfish), 1682 nucleotides long. RefSeq lists it as uncharacterized. Lineage: Eukaryota; Metazoa; Chordata; Actinopteri; Siluriformes; Pangasiidae. The record is from RefSeq and is a predicted model, not a curated record. The transcript has 8 exons.
CCGCUUUACGACACCUCUGGCUGCUUAUUGGACACGGCACAUAUUUCUCCGCAUGAAGAGUUUUGGUAUGAAAGAAGCCGCUUUUUGUUUCUCCAAUGCAGCAUUUCCCAGACGUUGAGCUUUCCAAUAGACUGAAAAUCCCAAUCCUAGGUUUAGGAACAUCGCACAAUGGUGGCUACUCCCACGAUGCAGUCGUCUACGCGCUCCAGCAGUGCGGCAUCAGGCACAUAGACACGGCUAAAAGAUACGGCUGUGAAGAAGCCUUGUGUAAGUCAAUCGUGGAGAGCCGAGUCCCACGUGAAGAUCUGUGGAUCACCACCAAGCUGUGGCCAGGGGAUUAUGGGUAUCAGAGCGCCAAGGAGGCCUGUCGGGCCUCGUGUGCCAGACUCGGGGUCGAGUAUUUAGAUCUGUACCUAAUGCACUGGCCUGACUGCGGCGUUCCGGGCCGCUCCAACAGGGACGUCCGAGCCGACACAUGGAGAGCUCUGGAGGAGAUGUACGACGAAGGAUUGUGCCGUUCCAUCGGCGUGAGCAACUUCCUGAUCCCACAUCUCGAGGAACUGAAAGAGGACGGUGGCGUGAUGCCUCACGUUAACCAGGUGGAGUUUCAUCCGUUUCAGCAGCCGUGGCAGCUGGUGGAGUUUUGCCGCAGUGAGGGCGUAGCGUUUGAGGGUUACUGCCCUCUAGCUAAGGGUCAAGCGCUCCAUCAUCCACUCAUCGUGGAACUGGCGCAGAAGUACGGACGCAGUGCUUCACAGAUCUGCAUCCGCUGGAGCAUUCAGAAUCGGAUCAUCACCAUCCCAAAGUCUACCAAACCUGAUAGGAUUCUUGAAAACUGCCAAACUGCCUCUGCAUGCACAGGUGUUUGGGUUCCAGCUGGAAGACACUGACAUGGCUGCCAUGCACGCGUUGCAUGAUGGGAGGCGCGUGAGCUGGGACCCAACCCACGUGGAGUGAGCACGCUGGUGUCUUUGGGUUCACGCUGGCUGAAGAGGACAUGGAGAGUAUCGGGCGACUACAUGCAGACAAAAAGCUUAUUCAUCUCAGCUACCCGCUCUGGAACGGAUAACGAGAACGGGGCAGCGGGUUCGGCUUUGUGAAUUUUUAGACAUACCCUAGAUCUCCUGCGCACAUCACACAGGAUGGCUCCGUGGAGCACAUUAUGUCCCAAAUUCUGAUCAUUCUGAUUUCCCUGAUUAACAAGACAAAUGAACCAGGUCAUGUAGCUGGCUUGGAAAUUGGAAAGAUGAGAAGAUUUACAGAAGAUUUAUUUGAGAAGAUUUACAGUUACAUCUAGAGUGUGAACCAGUUUGGUUCAUCCUUUUGGGAAACCCCAUGGAGGAAUUUUCUAGAAUCCUUCAACUUUUUUUACUUCAAAAAGUUUAGCUCACGAAGGAACGCUUGAAGAACCACCAGCGUUAUUGCUUUUGGGCAUGGCAUCUUCUCCGUAAGCCAUCAGACGGUCGAUCUUACACUCAGGUGGCCAUGUGUGAGGUGUUGAGUCUAUUUUUUCCCCAGAUGUCAAAGAAAUUAAAUGCAUCUAAGCUACUUUCGGACAAAAGUCAGUAAUAGCUAUAGCUAUGCAAGUGCAAGCACAAUGUCACUCAUUUAAUGAAACAUUUCAAAUCCUGUAUUUUAUAAUGAAAUAAAUCCGCACAGACUUAAGUGUCAAUAUUGUUUAA